UCCCUGAUAGCUCAGUUGAUAAAGAAUCUGCCUGCAAAGCAGAAGACCCUGGUUCAAUUUCUGGGUUGGGAAG
Non-coding RNA from Bos taurus (domestic cattle), 73 nucleotides. The record is from Rfam. Lineage: Eukaryota; Metazoa; Chordata; Mammalia; Artiodactyla; Bovidae.